AGCUUUGUGCAGUGGCAGUAUCGAGCCAAUGGGGUUUAUCUGAGGUGCGAUUAUUGCUAAUUGAAAACUUUUCCCAAUUAAAAACAAACAAACAAAAAACUAAAAUUUAAAACACACACCAGAAAAAAAUGAUCUUUUAACGUGU
Molecule: non-coding RNA, 145 nt
Organism: Saimiri boliviensis boliviensis (Bolivian squirrel monkey)
Lineage: Eukaryota; Metazoa; Chordata; Mammalia; Primates; Cebidae
Source: RefSeq, a predicted model, not a curated record